Molecule: transfer RNA, 82 nt
Organism: Paxillus involutus ATCC 200175
Lineage: Eukaryota; Fungi; Basidiomycota; Agaricomycetes; Boletales; Paxillaceae
Rfam family: tRNA
About the family: Transfer RNA (tRNA) molecules are approximately 80 nucleotides in length.
Source: Rfam
GUCCUUGUCGAUUAGUGGUUAAAUCAUCACGUUGUGGGAUUGCCAAACCGUGAAGCCGGAAGUUCGAAUCCUCCCUGGGACA